AUACGUAGGGUGCGAGCGUUGUCCGGAAUUACUGGGCGUAAAGAGCUCGUAGGUGGUUUGUCGCGUCGUCUGUGAAAUUCCGGGGCUUAACUCCGGGCGUGCAGGCGAUACGGGCAUAACUUGAGUACUGUAGGGGAGACUGGAAUUCCUGGUGUAGCGGUGAAAUGCGCAGAUAUCAGGAGGAACACCGGUGGCGAAGGGGGGUCUCUGGGCAGUAACUGACGCUGAGGAGCGAAAGCAUGGGUAGCGAACAGGAUUAGAUACCCUGGUAGUCCAUGCCGUAAACGGUGGGCGCUAGGUGUAGGGGUCUUCCACGACUUCUGUGCUGUAGCUAACGCAUUAAGCGCCCCGCCUGGUGAGUACGGCCGCAAGGCUAAAACUCAAAGGAAUUGACGGGG
This 398-nucleotide ribosomal RNA is filed under the name uncultured bacterium. RNAcentral's name for it is "partial 16S ribosomal RNA". It matches the Rfam family "Bacterial small subunit ribosomal RNA", at positions 523 to 918 of the family's 1533-position model. The record is from RNAcentral.